Long non-coding RNA from Raphanus sativus (radish), 1401 nucleotides. RefSeq lists it as uncharacterized. NCBI's taxonomy places the organism in Eukaryota, Viridiplantae, Streptophyta, Magnoliopsida, Brassicales, Brassicaceae. The transcript is spliced from 7 exons. The record is from RefSeq and is a predicted model, not a curated record.
CGGUACUUUUGUGGACAAGACCCUGUAGAAAGCAUUAAGGAAUGUCUCAAAGCCAAAGUUAAUAGUAUACUAACAAAAAGAAUGAAAACAAAGGGAUUUCAAAAGGUAAGCUGUAUAAUGUUUUCAUGUGACGACUGAUCAAUGCUUUACUGGUUUCUUUGUACCUUGAAUAUAAGGGUUUCUAGCUUAGGACAAUUCUGUAGAAGGGGCGGCAAUGAAUCCCAUCCAAGUUCCGAGAAGUGCUGUUCGUUUGGUCGCCGCAGGUCCCGGCGUCGGCGUCAGCGUCUGUUCGUGCGGCCAACUCUUGUUCGUUUAGUUGACGCAAAUAGCUGCGUCUGACGCCGCGUCUAGACGCCGCGUCUGUGCGUCGAUCGCCGAAAAAACCUGCGUCGGCGUCAAAAAUUCAGCGUCUGAGCUCUCUCCAUCUCUCUCUGUCUGUCUCAGCCUCUCCAUUGCAGCUCUUCUCACUCUCGAGUCUCGCCAUAGCUCUCUUUUCUCAGCCUCUCUCCAUCUCUCUCCGUCGAUCUCUCUUGUCUCAGCUUCGUCAUCGCUCUCCGUAGAUCUAUCUCGUCUCAGUCUCUCCCUAUCGGCGUUCCUCUCAAGUUCAGACCCCUCAUGCUCUCACUCUCUCGACGACGCUCAGACCCUCUCAAGCUCUCGACGACCAUCUUACGCACUCUCUCAAGGUCAUCACUCUCAAGGUCAUCACCUCUCUUUGAGCUUCGACCAAACCCAUAUCGAGCUUUCUCUUCUCCUCCACAGACGACGCCUCUCGAGCUCCCUCGUCUCCUCCACAGACGACGCCGUACAGUACAUUCAUGGUUUAGCUGCUAAAGGAGUACAUUAUAUUCAUCGCCCUGCUCCUACUCUCCAGGAUCUUGGCUUCUUUCUUCUUCCGGAGCUUGGUCAAGAGAGAAGCUACAUAAGUGAGACCCUCUUCACUACUGUUUUUCUUUCUUUCUUCCUGGCUUCGUUUCACUUCUGCCAUCAUACUUAACAAAAGUAUCGAAUCUAGAGAAAGUGACUGUUAAGGAUAUAGCCCCUCUUCUUCGUUGGGUCUCAAGCUCUCCCAAGCUUCUCUCACUCAAGCUCUCCCAAGCUCACUCUGUUUCUGUUCUUGUCAAUGAAACUGGCUCCUGUAAAUCCAAGGAUGGAGUUUAAUGCUAAUCCUGCUUUAUCCACAGAGGUAAGCUUGCACUGAUAAUUAUGGUUAUAAGAAGUUACGUCCACGUGUUAAUCCUCAUUUUGAUUUGAAGUUUAUCCUCAUUUUGUUCUUUUGUUUUGACCGGAUAUUUAGAAAUGUCUAAAACGAUACAUACUUAUGUUAAGAUUGAUUAUAAUUAUAAAAUAUUUUGAUGUAUUAUUUUUAUUUUUAUUUAGCUUAUGAUUUAUGACAUCAAA